GACAGAGGGUGCAAACGUUGUUCGGAUUUACUGGGCGUAAAGCGCGUGUAGGCGGCUUGGCAAGUUGAAUGUGAAAGCCCACGGCUCAACCGUGGAAGCGCAUCCAAAACUGCUUCGCUUGAGUCUCGGAGAGGAAGGUGGAAUGCUUGGUGUAGAGGUGAAAUUCGUAGAUAUCAAGCAGAACACCUGCGGCGAAGGCGGCCUUCUGGACGAUGACUGACGCUGAGGCACGAAAGCGUGGGGAGCAAACAGG
This 253-nucleotide ribosomal RNA is filed under the name uncultured bacterium. RNAcentral's name for it is "partial 16S ribosomal RNA". It matches the Rfam family "Bacterial small subunit ribosomal RNA", at positions 524 to 776 of the family's 1533-position model. The record is from RNAcentral.